Molecule: transfer RNA, 74 nt
Filed under: Clostridia bacterium
Lineage: Bacteria; Bacillati; Bacillota; Clostridia
Description: tRNA-Gly
Rfam family: tRNA
About the family: Transfer RNA (tRNA) molecules are approximately 80 nucleotides in length. Their secondary structure includes four short double-helical elements and three loops (D, anti-codon, and T loops).
Source: RNAcentral
GCGGAUAUAGUCUAAUGGUAAAACCUCAGCUUCCCAAGCUGAUGUCGCGGGUUCGAUUCCCGUUAUCCGCUCCA